This 702-nucleotide long non-coding RNA is filed under the name Monodelphis domestica (gray short-tailed opossum). RNAcentral describes it as "lncRNA (ENSMODG00000029049.2)". The record is from RNAcentral. Lineage: Eukaryota; Metazoa; Chordata; Mammalia; Didelphimorphia; Didelphidae.
AAGAGACCGUUGGGCCUUGUGCUGGCUCUAUCUCUCUCUCUGGUUUACCUGGAGGGGACUGGCUGCCUUCCCUUGCUGGCUGUUUUCUAUCUGCUCUUCUCCAUCCUACCUGCUUCCCUACUGGCUGGAUUGAUAGCUACAGAGCUUCCUGGUGAUCCUGAACCAUCUGCAGUGAUUGAGUACAACAAGGGGUUCAAGAAAAAUGCCAUUUCCCCCAACCACUCUCAAGGGGAAGCUAAUCAUUAGCGUACUAUCACCAGCAGAUUUGGCAUCCCAUGUCCUUAUGAUGUACAGUGAUGAGAGACACUUCUGAGCAGGUGACUGUUUAUUCUAUUGUCUGUCUGCCUGUGGAAUGCACCUCCACAGCAGAAUGUCUGGAAACCCCUAGAGGAUGGGGUCGUGGUCACCAUUAAUCACUCAUCAUCCUACAAAACACGAUUAAUCAUAAAAAGGAAAUUAGCAGAGGUUUGACAAGAAAAGAAAGAAAGAAAGAAAGAAAGAAAGAAAGAAAGAAAGAAAGAAAGAAAGAAAGAAAGAAAGAAAGAAAGAAAGAAAGAAAGAAAGAGAAAGAAAGAAAGAAAGAGAGAGAGAAGAGAGAGAAAGAAAAAGAAAGAAAGAAAGAAAGAAAGAAAGAAAGAGAGAGAGAAGAGAGAGAAAGAGAAAAAAAAAGAAAAAGGAAGGAAGGAAAUGUGUGAGAUAAAA